RNAcentral lists this ribosomal RNA (380 nucleotides) under uncultured eukaryote. RNAcentral's name for it is "partial 18S ribosomal RNA". It matches the Rfam family "Eukaryotic small subunit ribosomal RNA", at positions 592 to 976 of the family's 1831-position model. The record is from RNAcentral.
CAAUAGCGUAUAUUAAAGUUGUUGCAGUUAAGAAGCUCGUAGUUGGAUUUGUGGCGUACGGUGUGUUCCGGGCACUUGUUGUCUGAGUAACCUGCUGUUGCCAUCCUUGGGUGGAACCUGUGUGGCAUUAGGUUGUCGUGCAGGGGAUGCCCAUCAUUUACUGUGAAAAAAUUAGAGUGUUCAAAGCAGGCUUAUGCCGUUGAAUAUAUUAGCAUGGAAUAAUGAGAUAGGACUUUUUUGCUAUUUUGUUGGUUUGCGCAAAGAGGUAAUGAUUAAUAGGGACAGUUGGGGGUAUUCGUAUUCCAUAGUCAGAGGUGAAAUUCUUGGAUUUUUGGAAGACGAACUACUGCGAAAGCAUUUACCAAGGAUGUUUUCAUUAA